GAUGAACGCUGACAGAAUGCUUAACACAUGCAAGUCUACUUGAACUUCGGUUUGGGUGGCGGACGGGUGAGUAACGCGUAAAGAACUUGCCUCACAGUUAGGGACAACAUUUGGAAACGAAUGCUAAUACCUGAUAUUAUGAUUUUAGGGCAUCCUAAAAUUAUGAAAGCUAUAUGCGCUGUGAGAGAGCUUUGCGUCCCAUUAGCUAGUUGGAGAGGUAACGGCUCACCAAGGCGAUGAUGGGUAGCCGGCCUGAGAGGGUGAACGGCCACAAGGGGACUGAGACACGGCCCUUACUCCUACGGGAGGCAGCAGUGGGGAAUAUUGGACAAUGGACCAAAAGUCUGAUCCAGCAAUUCCGUGUGCACGAUGACGUUUUUCGGAAUGUAAAGUGCUUUCAGUUGGGAAGAAAAAAAUGACGGUACCAACAGAAGAAGUGACGGCUAAAUACGUG
Molecule: ribosomal RNA, 454 nt
Filed under: uncultured bacterium
Lineage: Bacteria
Description: partial 16S ribosomal RNA
Rfam family: Bacterial small subunit ribosomal RNA
Source: RNAcentral